UUAAGCGACUAAGCGUACACGGUGGAUGCCCUGGCAGUCAGAGGCGAUGAAGGACGUGCUAAUCUGCGAUAAGCGUCGGUGAGGUGAUAUGAACCGUUAUAACCGGCGAUUUCCGAAUGGGGAAACCCAGUGUGAUUCGACACACUAUCAUUAACUGAAUCCAUAGGUUAAUGAGGCGAACCGGGGGAACUGAAACAUCUAAGUACCCCGAGGAAAAGAAAUCAACCGAGAUUCCCCCAGUAGCGGCGAGCGAACGGGGAGGAGCCCAGAGCCUGAAUCAGUGUGUGUGUUAGUGGAAGCGUCUGGAAAGGCGUGCGAUACAGGGUGACAGCCCCGUACACAAAAAUGCACAUAUUGUGAGCUCGAUGAGUAGGGCGGGACACGUGGUAUCCUGUCUGAAUAUGGGGGACCAUCCUCCAAGGCUAAAUACUCCUGACUGACCGAUAGUGAACCAGUACCGUGAGGGAAAGGCGAAAAGAACCCCGGCGACGGGAGUGAAAAAGAACCUAGAAACCGUGUACGUACAAGCAGUGGGAGCCUCUUAAUGGGGUGACUGCGUACCUUUUGUAUAAUGGGUCAGCGACUUAUAUUCUGUAGCAAGGUUAACCGAAUAGGGGAGCCGAAGGGAAACCGAGUCUUAACUGGGCGUUAAGUUGCAGGGUAUAGACCCGAAACCCGGUGAUCUAGCCAUGGGCAGGUUGAAGGUUGGGUAACACUAACUGGAGGACCGAACCGACUAAUGUUGAAAAAUUAGCGGAUGACUUGUGGCUGGGGGUGAAAGGCCAAUCAAACCGGGAGAUAGCUGGUUCUCCCCGAAAGCUAUUUAGGUAGCGCCUCGUGAAUUCAUCUCCGGGGGUAGAGCACUGUUUCGGCAAGGGGGUCAUCCCGACUUACCAACCCGAUGCAAACUGCGAAUACCGGAGAAUGUUAUCACGGGAGACACACGGCGGGUGCUAACGUCCGUCGUGAAGAGGGAAACAACCCAGACCGCCAGCUAAGGUCCCAAAGUCAUGGUUAAGUGGGAAACGAUGUGGGAAGGCCCAGACAGCCAGGAUGUUGGCUUAGAAGCAGCCAUCAUUUAAAGAAAGCGUAAUAGCUCACUGGUCGAGUCGGCCUGCGCGGAAGAUGUAACGGGGCUAAACCAUGCACCGAAGCUGCGGCAGCGACACUAUGUGUUGUUGGGUAGGGGAGCGUUCUGUAAGCCUGUGAAGGUGGCCUGUGAGGGUUGCUGGAGGUAUCAGAAGUGCGAAUGCUGACAUAAGUAACGAUAAAGCGGGUGAAAAGCCCGCUCGCCGGAAGACCAAGGGUUCCUGUCCAACGUUAAUCGGGGCAGGGUGAGUCGACCCCUAAGGCGAGGCCGAAAGGCGUAGUCGAUGGGAAACAGGUUAAUAUUCCUGUACUUGGUGUUACUGCGAAGGGGGGACGGAGAAGGCUAUGUUGGCCGGGCGACGGUUGUCCCGGUUUAAGCGUGUAGGCUGGUUUUCCAGGCAAAUCCGGAAAACCAAGGCUGAGGCGUGAUGACGAGGCACUACGGUGCUGAAGUGACAAAUGCCCUGCUUCCAGGAAAAGCCUCUAAGCAUCAGGUAACAUCAAAUCGUACCCCAAACCGACACAGGUGGUCAGGUAGAGAAUACCAAGGCGCUUGAGAGAACUCGGGUGAAGGAACUAGGCAAAAUGGUGCCGUAACUUCGGGAGAAGGCACGCUGAUAUGUAGGUGAAGCGACUUGCUCGUGGAGCUGAAAUCAGUCGAAGAUACCAGCUGGCUGCAACUGUUUAUUAAAAACACAGCACUGUGCAAACACGAAAGUGGACGUAUACGGUGUGACGCCUGCCCGGUGCCGGAAGGUUAAUUGAUGGGGUUAGCGGCAACGCGAAGCUCUUGAUCGAAGCCCCGGUAAACGGCGGCCGUAACUAUAACGGUCCUAAGGUAGCGAAAUUCCUUGUCGGGUAAGUUCCGACCUGCACGAAUGGCGUAAUGAUGGCCAGGCUGUCUCCACCCGAGACUCAGUGAAAUUGAACUCGCUGUGAAGAUGCAGUGUACCCGCGGCAAGACGGAAAGACCCCGUGAACCUUUACUAUAGCUUGACACUGAACAUUGAGCCUUGAUGUGUAGGAUAGGUGGGAGGCUUUGAAGUGUGGACGCCAGUCUGCAUGGAGCCGACCUUGAAAUACCACCCUUUAAUGUUUGAUGUUCUAACGUUGGCCCGUAAUCCGGGUUGCGGACAGUGUCUGGUGGGUAGUUUGACUGGGGCGGUCUCCUCCUAAAGAGUAACGGAGGAGCACGAAGGUUGGCUAAUCCUGGUCGGACAUCAGGAGGUUAGUGCAAUGGCAUAAGCCAGCUUGACUGCGAGCGUGACGGCGCGAGCAGGUGCGAAAGCAGGUCAUAGUGAUCCGGUGGUUCUGAAUGGAAGGGCCAUCGCUCAACGGAUAAAAGGUACUCCGGGGAUAACAGGCUGAUACCGCCCAAGAGUUCAUAUCGACGGCGGUGUUUGGCACCUCGAUGUCGGCUCAUCACAUCCUGGGGCUGAAGUAGGUCCCAAGGGUAUGGCUGUUCGCCAUUUAAAGUGGUACGCGAGCUGGGUUUAGAACGUCGUGAGACAGUUCGGUCCCUAUCUGCCGUGGGCGCUGGAGAACUGAGGGGGGCUGCUCCUAGUACGAGAGGACCGGAGUGGACGCAUCACUGGUGUUCGGGUUGUCAUGCCAAUGGCACUGCCCGGUAGCUAAAUGCGGAAGAGAUAAGUGCUGAAAGCAUCUAAGCACGAAACUUGCCCCGAGAUGAGUUCUCCCUGACCCUUUAAGGGUCCUGAAGGAACGUUGAAGACGACGACGUUGAUAGGCCGGGUGUGUAAGCGCAGCGAUGCGUUGAGCUAACCGGUACUAAUGAACCGUGAGGCUUAACCUU
RNAcentral lists this ribosomal RNA (2902 nucleotides) under Escherichia coli DEC2B. RNAcentral's name for it is "bacterial LSU rRNA". It matches the Rfam family "Bacterial large subunit ribosomal RNA". The record is from RNAcentral. Lineage: Bacteria; Pseudomonadati; Pseudomonadota; Gammaproteobacteria; Enterobacterales; Enterobacteriaceae.